This 243-nucleotide ribosomal RNA is filed under the name uncultured Actinomycetales bacterium. RNAcentral's name for it is "partial 16S ribosomal RNA". It matches the Rfam family "Bacterial small subunit ribosomal RNA", at positions 88 to 334 of the family's 1533-position model. Lineage: Bacteria; Bacillati; Actinomycetota; Actinomycetes; Actinomycetales. The record is from RNAcentral.
UACUCGAGUGGCGAACGGGUGAGUAACACGUGGGUGAUCUGCCCUGCACUCUGGGAUAAGCCUGGGAAACUGGGUCUAAUACCGGAUAGGAACCAUCUUUAGUGUGGUGGUUGGAAAGUUUUUUCGGUGUAGGAUGAGCUCGCGGCCUAUCAGCUUGUUGGUGGGGUAAUGGCCUACCAAGGCGGCGACGGGUAGCCGGACUGAGAGGUUGGUCGGCCACAUUGGGACUGAGAUACGGCCCAG